AGGCGAAAAGAACCCCGGCGAGGGGAGUGAAAAAGAACCUGAAACCGUGUACGUACAAGCAGUGGGAGCACAGGUUUACCUGUGUGACUGCGUACCUUUUGUAUAAUGGGUCAGCGACUUAUAUUCUGUAGCAAGGUUAACCGAAUAGGGGAGCCGGAGGGAAACCGAGUCUUAAUUGGGCGUUAAGUUGCAGGGUAUAGACCCGAAACCCGGUGAUCUAGCCAUGGGCAGGUUGAAGGUUGGGUAACACUAACUGGAGGACCGAACCGACUAAUGUUGAAAAAUUAGCGGAUGACCUGUGGCUGGGGGUGAAAGGCCAAUCAAACCGGGAGAUAGCUGGUUCUCCCCGAAAGCUAUUUAGGUAGCGCCUCGUGAACUCAUCUCCGGGGGUAGAGCACUGUUUCGGCUAGGGGGCCAUCCCGGCUUACCAACCCGAUGCAAACUGCGAAUACCGGAGAAUGUUAUCACGGGAGACACACGGCGGGUGCUAACGUCCGUCGUGAAGAGGGAAACAACCCAGACCGCCAGCUAAGGUCCCAAAGUCAUGGUUAAGUGGGAAACGAUGUGGGAAGGCCCAGACAGCCAGGAUGUUGGCUUAGAAGCAGCCAUCAUUUAAAGAAAGCGUAAUAGCUCACUGGUCGAGUCGGCCUGCGCGGAAGAUGUAACGGGGCUAAACCAUGCACCGAAGCUGCGGCAGCGACACUCAGGUGUUGUUGGGUAGGGGAGCGUUCUGUAAGCCUGUGAAGGUGGCCUGUGAGGGUUGCUGGAGGUAUCAGAAGUGCGAAUGCUGACAUAAGUAACGAUAAAGCGGGUGAAAAGCCCGCUCGCCGGAAGACCAAGGGUUCCUGUCCAACGUUAAUCGGGGCAGGGUGAGUCGACCCCUAAGGCGAGGCCGAAAGGCGUAGUCGAUGGGAAACGGGUUAAUAUUCCCGUACUUGGUGUUACUGCGAAGGGGGGACGGAGAAGGCUAUGUUGGCCGGGCGACGGUUGUCCCGGUUUAAGCGUGUAGGUGUGUGUUCCAGGUAAAUCCGGUUCACUUUAACACUGAGGCGUGA
Molecule: ribosomal RNA, 1055 nt
Filed under: Salmonella enterica subsp. enterica serovar Montevideo
Lineage: Bacteria; Pseudomonadati; Pseudomonadota; Gammaproteobacteria; Enterobacterales; Enterobacteriaceae
Description: partial 23S ribosomal RNA
Rfam family: Bacterial large subunit ribosomal RNA
Source: RNAcentral